Molecule: non-coding RNA, 401 nt
Organism: Archocentrus centrarchus (flier cichlid)
Lineage: Eukaryota; Metazoa; Chordata; Actinopteri; Cichliformes; Cichlidae
Source: the annotation of a RefSeq genome assembly
UUUCACCAAAAAACAUGUUUUCUGUAGUUCUGUUCCUGCUCUUAGCAGCUGGAUGUGUGAAGUGUGAACAGUUGACACAGCCGGCCUCUGUGACUGUGCAGCCGGGUCAGCGUCUGACCCUCACCUGUCAGGUCUCUUAUUCUGUUAGUAGCUACUACACAGCUUGGAUCAGACAGCCUGCAGGGAAAGCACUGGAAUGGAUUGGAAUGGCUGCUGGAUCUACAACAUACUACAAAGAUUCACUUAAAAGCAAGUUCAGCAUUUCCACAGACUCUUCCAGCAAAACAGUGACAUUAACUGGACAGAAUGUGCAGCCUGAAGACUCUGCUGUGUAUUACUGUGCCCGACAGCCACAGUAACACAAAGCAUCAGCAGCCCUUAACAAAAACCCCUCAGAGCCU